GUCACUGCUAUCCGGAUCCGACUAAGCCAUGCAAGUCUUGGUGUUCAACUCUGGACAUCAGGGCGGAAAGCUCAGUAACACGUAGUUAACAUGCCCUCAAGUCUGGGAUAAUCACGGGAAACUGUGGCUAAUACCAGAUAGAUAAGAACUACUGGAAUGUGUUCUUGUCCAAAGCUUCGGCGCUUGAGGAUUGGACUGCGUCGGAUUAGGUUGUUGUGAAGGUAAAAUCUUCACGAGCCGAUAAUCCGUACGGGCCUUGAGAGAGGGAGCCCGGAGAUGGAUUCUGAGACAAGAAUCCAGGCCCUACGGGGCGCAGCAGGCGCGAAACUUUCCCAAUGCACGCAAGUGUGAGGAAGGGAUCUGGAGUGUCUUCUCUUACUAAGGGGAGACUUUUGUGGAGUGUAAAUAGCUUCACGAAUAAGUGGUGGGUAAGACGGGUGCCAGCCGCCAUGCUGGUAGCAGCUUUAUACUGCUGCCGACACGGUAAGCGGUAAUACCCGCGCCACGAGUGGUGACCACGUUUAUUGGGCUUAAAGCAUUCGUAGCCGGUUCAGCAAGUCUCUAGUGAAAUCCCGCAGUCAACUGUGGGGCUUGCUAGAGAAACUGCUGGACUUGGGACCGGGAGAGGUCGAGGGUAUUCCAGGGGGAGGGGUAAAAUCCUGUAAUCCCUGGGAGACCACCUGUGGCGAAGGCGCUCGACCAGAACGGAUCCGACGGUGAGGGAUGAAAGCCAGGGGAGCAAAGGGGAUUAGAUACCCCCGUAGUCCUGGCUGUAAACGAUGCCCACUAGACGUUGGCAAUCUUACGGGGGUUGCCAGUGCCGUAGCGAAAGCGUUAAGUGGGCCGCCUGGGGAGUACGGUCGCAAGGCUGAAACUUAAGGGAAUUGGCGGGGGAGCACACAAGGGGUGGAGGCUGCGGUUU
This 922-nucleotide ribosomal RNA is filed under the name uncultured archaeon. Its description in RNAcentral is "bacterial SSU rRNA". It matches the Rfam family "Archaeal small subunit ribosomal RNA", at positions 23 to 903 of the family's 1478-position model. The record is from RNAcentral.